Molecule: long non-coding RNA, 335 nt
Organism: Etheostoma cragini (Arkansas darter)
Lineage: Eukaryota; Metazoa; Chordata; Actinopteri; Perciformes; Percidae
Exons: 2
Source: RefSeq, a predicted model, not a curated record
CUCCACUCGGCUGCUCGGCCGCGUCACAUCCAGGCUGCCGAUGUACUGUUGUCAGGGAAGUAAAUAUGACAGGCAUUUUCAAAGUAUGCACUACUCCACACUAACAGAAGAACCAAGAAAAAAUUAACGGAAAAACAAACUGGGUUGGUUUAACAGGGAGUAAUCCAAGAAAAAAAAACACAAUUCCAAAUCCGGUUAGUUGGCUACAUGUUCUCCAUCGCAGCAAACCGUCCCAGCAUUGCAGCGCUAGCCUACUACAGCGACCAAGUGGCGGUAACUACUUUAGCAGCGCUCCGGCGCACCGCUGCCUUGCUAAUAUUUACCGGAACAGCUUU